This 1459-nucleotide unclassified non-coding RNA is filed under the name Hevea brasiliensis (rubber tree). The record is from RNAcentral. Lineage: Eukaryota; Viridiplantae; Streptophyta; Magnoliopsida; Malpighiales; Euphorbiaceae.
UGUAAUUAAUGUAUUUCAGUAUAGAAUUUUUUAUACAAAUCAGAUUCUUGUUUAUAUAUGAAGUUGAGUGAUCCUAUAAUAAAGCUAAGGGAAAGUCACUCUUUUCAAAGCUACCUCAUUGGGAUUUUGCAUUGAAAUCAUCAAGAUCAUGAGCAGAAGUUGAGGAAGAGGCUGUGAUGGAAAAUGAAGUUGAAAGCUCGUUUUCCAUCUGUUUAUGAUGUUCUUUCCUUGCCUUAGAACUCAUAUAUGACUCUUCAUUGAUUUCAUAUAAAUCACUGGCAAAAGCAGCUGAAGAAUCAUGCUCAGACCCAACUCAUGUUGAAUUUUUUCCUCUUGCACUCUGACUUCUUGUUUGUAUUUUAUGCUCUCUUAUGGCUUUAAACCUCAAGUCUUCAUUAUAGCUACUUGCUUCAGGGAUUAUAUCAGGUAUACUUCUAGUUCCCUCUAGCAUGCACAACACUUCAGACAUUGUUGGUCUUAGUGAAGAUGAAGCAUUUGUGCAUGAGAGAGCAGUUUUAAUCAUCCUUUCUGCUUCUACCUCCUUGAAAUCAGAUCCACGUUUCUCAUCCACAAGCUCCAUCAGGUUUCCAUUUUGCUGCAAGUAGCAAGCCCAGUCUAGAAGGCAAGCAAAUUUGUUCUCUGGCCCAUAAUUCAUAUUGUGUUUCCCACUAACAAGUUCCAAUGCCACAAUUCCAAAACUGUAAACAUCAGCUUUGUGGGUCAAAUAACCCCAUAAUGCAUAUUCUGGUGCCAUAUAUCCCAUUGUUCCAGCAAUCCUGGUGCUGAUGUGGGUUUUUUCCUCUGAAUCAAGUUUAGCCAACCCAAAGUCAGAUAUUUUAGGGUUUAGAUGCUUAUCAAGGAGAACAUUGGUAGCUUUGAUGUCCCUAUGAACAAUUUUGAGCCUCGACUCUUCAUGCAGAAAAGCUAAUCCUCUAGCUAUCCCAACACAGAUACUCUGCCUCGUUUGCCAGUCCAGUUUUAUUUGGCAGUGUUCAGGGCCAAACAAAGCACGAGCAAGGCUAUUAUUUUCCAGGUAUUCAUAUACUAGCAGUAGUUGAUUUCCUUCAAUGCAGCAACCAUGAAGUUUGACAAGAUUUGGGUGUUGCAAACAUGAAAUCAUGCCUAUCUCAUUCAAAAAUUCACGAUUUCCCUGACUUGACUUAGAUGAAAGCUGUUUCACAGCAACUACUGUGCCAUCAGAUAGCAAACCCUUGUAGACCGGUCCAAAUCCACCUUCUCCAAUUUUGUUGGCAGGAUCAAAAUUGUUAGUGGCAGCUCUAAUUUGCUUUAGGGUAAAAGAAAUAGUUUGACUUUUGAGUCCUUCAAAAUCUUUUUGUGUCUCAUUCUUUGCUCUGAAAUAGCACCUCCACACAAUGAUACUCAAUGCUAAUAGAAUGAGACAUGAACCUACAACUCCAACAACAAUUGGUGCAAUUUUUGUCUUCCUUCCAUCUGAAGG